GGUGUGGUGGCCAUUAUCACCUUAGUUAAUAUUUUUUUUUAAUUUAUUUGGGAACGCAACGUUUGAAUGCUUUGAAAAAUACUAAGUAUGAUUCAGUAAUCAAUUGCGGCGUUCAAUUUACUGAAGUAGGCUAGUUUUUUUUUUUUUUUUUUUCUUAUACUAAAGAUUUCAACUGCUAUAUAUCGGAUGUUUUUUAGCAUAUGGGUUUGGCUCAAAUAGUACUACAAUAAAAUAGGUAUGGAUGUAUUUAGCUUAAACCCGUUUUGCGGACAAAUUUAUGCGGGUUGGGAAUUUUAGCGGGUUAUGUUUGUGGGUUGGUGGAACGAUUUGCGGACUAUAAAAAUUUGAUUAAAAAGUAAA
RNAcentral lists this long non-coding RNA (360 nucleotides) under Capsella rubella. RNAcentral's name for it is "long non-coding RNA (CRUB_LNC001686)". The record is from RNAcentral. Lineage: Eukaryota; Viridiplantae; Streptophyta; Magnoliopsida; Brassicales; Brassicaceae.